Molecule: long non-coding RNA, 4560 nt
Filed under: Lynx pardinus (Iberian lynx)
Lineage: Eukaryota; Metazoa; Chordata; Mammalia; Carnivora; Felidae
Source: RNAcentral
GCCUUAGGUAGUAUGGACAUUUUAAUGAUAUUUGUUCUUCCAAUCCAUGAGCAUGGUAUACCUUUCCGUUUGUUUGUGUCAUCUUCAGUUUUUUUCAUCAGUGUUUUAUAGUUUUCAGAGUAGAGGUCUUUUUCCUCCUUGUUUAAGUUUAUUGCUAGAUUUUUUUAUCCUUUUUGGUGCAAUUGCAAAUGGGGUUGCUUUCUUAAUUUCUCUUUCUGUUGUUUUAUUAUUAGUAUAGAAAUGCAGUGGAUUUCUGUACAUUGAUUUUGUAUCCUGCGAUCUUACCGAAUGUUAAAUUUAUACAUGGAAAUUGUUUGAAGAAAAGAGAAGCAGAGCAAGAUAGAGGAGAAUGAGAGUGUUAUGAAGCAAAUUGAGGUGUUAAACACUUAGCCAGGUAGGUCUCAUGGAGGGGAUAUGGAGACAGACUUAGAGGAGGGGAGGGAGGGAACCUUGUGGAGAUCUUGGGAAAGAAUACUCUAGCCAGAAGGAAUAGCCAGUACAAAGGCACUUUGACAGGAAGGUGUACUCAGCAUGUCUGAUGAGUACCAAGAGUCUGGUAUGGCUGGAUGUAAUAAGCAAGGGACAAAGUAGCAAGUGUGAGGUCAGAGAAGUAACAUAGUGUAAGGAUAAUGGUUUAAUCCAGAGAAUCAGGGUUCUAUCUAUAUUUAAUUUUUAACAUGAUAAAAUAAUGUGUACUGCAGCACUGUGAGACAUAAGUGAAAUUAGAAAACCUUAUUUGUCUAAUCCUAACCUGUGUAAAUACCUAUGCUUUCUUUGGAAACUUCUGAAGCAUCUUUUUCAAUGUUGUCUUUCUGAGCCACUUUUACUUUACUUUCCAUCUGGGAUUUAGGUGUUCUGCAUCUUCAGAGCUACUUCCCUUCCUCUUCCCUUUUCUGACUGAAGGUAAACUGGAUAUUUCAGCUUUUUCCCAUUUUUUUUUCUUUUCCUUUGAGAGUGGCUUUUAGGGUUUAGCAAUCUGUACUUCAGAGCCCUCAGAUGUGGUCCUGGAUCUUCUCAUUUUACAGAUGCUCCCCUUGCUUGUGCCCAUUGGCUCUUUUUGAUCUGGAUAUUGUCUUCUUUCUUCAUUCUGCCUUUCUGCUUUUUCUUUUUUCUGUAACUUCUUUUUCUAUUCUUCUGUAACAAUGCUAUGAUUAGUUUUUAUUUCACUUCAACGACAUCUACGUGCAUUUUAAUGUUAAAUAAUGUGCCAACCACUAUAAGGGCACGAAUGAGCUUAUUUUUUUAUAGUCUCAGGAAAUAAACCAGGUUUUCUUGGUGCUUCCUCUGGUAGGUUGUUCAGAAACUGAAAUAAAAUCAGUAAAAAAAAAAAAAAAGUUGGUUACUAUAUGAAACACUUCAAAUUUUCCUUGCUUUUCUUUAUAAGUUCUGGAUCUACCUCAAUAUUUUGCUGCUUGUUCUUUUGUUUCAAAUUCCACAAAGGCAGAUCCCUUUGGAUUUCCAGUAGACUUAUAAUGUGGUAGACUUCUAUAAAAAGACAUGGCCACAUUUUCCAGAUACUCUUUCAAUCCAGCUGUGAUUUUGGGAAGUAACUCCUAUAUGUUUAACUUCUAAGUAAGAAUUGCUUACAUAUUUACUUGGAAUGUUAAAAAAAAAAAAAAAAAGAGUCCUCUUUCUUCCCUGAGCAACUGGAAGGAUUGAGGUCAAGAAGGUUCCAGAGGAACAGAUUUGGGGGAAGGUCAGGAGGUCAGUUGUGAACACAUUGACUUUGAGAUGCUUAUUCCACUUUCAGAUGGAGAUGUUGGGUAAGCAGCUGGAGAGUCUGCUUGGAGUUUAGGGAAGAGGCUGGACAUAACACACAUCUGAGAGGCUGUCGCAUAUUGAUGGCAUUUAGACUUGAGAGUGGAGAGGAGCACCAAGUAUGUCAGUAUUAGCAACAAGAAGAAGACCGAUAACUUAGCUCACGAGUUUUACAAAAUUUUACUGCAAAGUGGAAUAACUUCUGAAAGUUUUUUCAUUUGAUGACUCCACUGUGACACACCCACACCACCUACCUUCAGCCCUCUGCAGUCUGGAUUCCAUACCCAGUACUCUGGUGAGUUCUCUAAAGAUCUCCAUUCAUGUUCUAGAUUUGAAGGAAACAUCUUAGUCCCAUCUGGCUUUAGCUCUUAGUAUUUACCACUGCAGACCACUCUGGCCUUCUUAACUCCUAUCCUUUCUUGCUCCUGCAACAUUGCACAUCCAUGAAUAGCCUCCCACCUCCCUAGCUGCUCCUUCUCAGUCUUCUUUACCUGUUCCUUAAAUAUUGAUAUUUGACUUUCUCACUAACUUCAUUUACUCUUUAUGUGCUGGUGAUGCCCAAAUUGGUAUCUCCAACCUAGUCCUUUCUGUUGAAUUUCAGACCCAUAUACCCAACACCCCAUUUGUCAUCUUGUAUGGAUUUUUCACAGGCAAACCCUAUACCCAGUCUGGUCUCCUCACCAAUCCAGUUGCUCAAGUCAGCAAAAAAGAAAUCAUUCUUAACUUUUCUCUUCACAUCCCACUUCCUCUAUGUAUUAUCCUAAAUAUCUCUUAAAUCCAUCACCUCUCUGCCCCCAACUGCCACCCCUCUAGUACAGGCCAAUGUUAUCUCAAGUAGAUUACCAGUCAAUUUCCUAACAGUUCUCCCUGACUUGCCCUUGGCAAUCCAUUAUCCUUGUAGACCAAAUGAGCUCUCUAAAAUGCAAAUGUGAUCAUGUCACAUAUAUUAGGUAAGCAUAUGCAUGUUACAAGUUACAGAAAUUCUAGCCCGUAUGGGUUUAAAUAAAAAGGACUUUUCUGUCUUAGCUGAACAUCUUAGGAGUAGUCUAGUUUCAGUUACAGCUUGAUCCAGGACACAGAUUAUAAUCUGUUACCAAGCUCUAUCUUGCAAUUCUGUCCUCUCUGAGUCAGCUUUAUAUUCAGGUUGCCACGUCCUGUGAUAGCAAGUUGGCUGUAGCAGUUUCUAAGUAUCAUAUGGUCACACUAGCCAAUCCAGCAAAAAAAAAAAAAGGGGGGGGGUACUUUCUCUGAAACUCCAGAAUUGGUCAUACUGUGUCAUAUUUGUCCACCCCUGAGCUACAUGCUAUGCCAAGAGGAUUGGACGUCCUAAAUACUCAGGCCAAUCCAAGGUCAAUUCAACACAAACUACAUUGGUUGACACAAGGGACAGAAUGAAGAAAAGGGGAAAUGAAUGAGCAACCAUCUUAAGUGACUAAGAACUCUUUAAUCACUCUUCAUUUUUUAAAAAAAUUUUUAAAUGUUUAUUUUUUGAAAGAGAGAAAGAGAGGGAGAGGGAGACACAGAAUCUGAAGCAGGCUCCAGGCUCUGAGCUGUCAGCACAGAGCCUGAUGCAGGGCUCAAACUCACAGACCACGAGAUCAUGACCUGAGCCAAAGUCGGACACAACCGAAUGAGCCACCCAGGUGCCCCCACCCUUCAUCACUCUUUUUUUUUAAUUUUUUUUUUCAACGUUUAUUUAUUUUUGGGACAGAGAGAGACAGAGCAUGAACGGGGGAGGAGCAGAGAGAGAGGGAGACACAGAAUCGGAAACGGGCUCCAGGCUCUGAGCCAUCAGUCCAGAGCCUGACGCGGGGCUCGAACUCCCGGACUGCGAGAUCGUGACCUGGCUGAAGUCGGACGCUUAACCGACUGCGCCACCCAGGCGCCCCCAUCACUCUUAACAUAAGGGCUACUGUCCUCAUCAGGGCCCUGCAAUGCCCUGCAUGAUAUGGUCUCUCUCACCUCCCUAGCCUCAUCUUUCCUGGUCAUUUUUUCCAACUCACAGGUCUGGUAAUGGUAAACUCUUUUCAAUUUCUCCUUCUUCUCUUUUCUCCUUCUUAUCCUUCUCCAUGUCUUCCUCCUCCUUUUUCUUCUCCUUCUCCUCCUUCUCCACCUCCUCCUCCUGCUGUUGCUUCUGCUUCUGCUUCUUUUACCUUAGAGAGCGAGUGAGUGGGGGAGAGGGGCAGAGGGGGAGAGGGAGAAACUUAAGCAGCCUCCAGACUCAGUGCAGAGCCUGAAGCAGGGCUUGAUCCCAUGGUCCAGGGAUCAUGACCUGAGCUGAAAUCAAGAGUCAGGUGUUCAAUCAACUGAGCCACCCAGGUGCCCCUCAUUUUGAUUUCUAAAUGAGUUUUUUUUUCUCUCUGAUCAUGAGAGGUUUUGUUUUUUUUUUUAAUGAGUUUUUUAAGCAUAUGUCAUUUCCUGAUGUUCAUGCUUAAUUUAGGUGGUAUAAUUGCUUAAUUUUAUGUGCCAACUUGGCUGGGCCAUGGUUCCCAGAUAGGUGAUCAAACAUUAUUCUGGAUGUUUCUAUAAGGGUGGUUUUAGAUGAGAUUAACAUUUAAAUCAGUGGGCCUUGAGUAAAGCAAAUUGCCCUCCAUGAUAUGGGUGGGCUUCAUCCAAUCAGUUGUAGGCCUGAGAACAAAAGACUGACCUCCCCUGAGCAAGAGGGAAUUCUGCCAGCAGACAGACUUCAGACCUGAACUGCAACAUCGUCUGUGUGGGUCUCCAGCCUGCAGACCCACCCUGCAGAUUUUGGAUUUGCCAGCAUCCAUAAUCAUGUGUGCCAAUUAAAAAAUAAUAAUAAAU